This 345-nucleotide unclassified non-coding RNA is filed under the name soil metagenome. RNAcentral describes it as "partial contains 5.8S ribosomal RNA, internal transcribed spacer 2, and large subunit ribosomal RNA". The stretch from base 1 to 120 matches the Rfam family "5.8S ribosomal RNA", at positions 35 to 154 of the family's 154-position model. The record is from RNAcentral.
GAUGAAGAACGUAGCGAAAUGCGAUAAGUAGUGUGAAUUGCAGAAUUCAGUGAAUCAUCGAAUCUUUGAACGCACAUUGCGCCCGCCAGCAUUCUGGCGGGCAUGCCUGUUCGAGCGUCAUUUCAACCCUCGACUUCCCUUUGGGGAAAUCGGCGUUGGGGACUGGCAGCAUACCGCCGGCCCCGAAAUGGAGUGGCGGCCCGUCCGCGGCGACCUCUGCGUAGUAAUCCAACCUCGCACCGGAACCCCGACGUGGCCACGCCGUAAAACACCCCACUUUCUGAACGUUGACCUCGGAUCAGGUAGGAAUACCCGCUGAACUUAAGCAUAUCAAUAAGCGGAGGA